GCCCUGACGUUUUCUGGGUUUUCUUUCUCUGCAGGGCUGUCGCUUCCCCCUGGAGGGCCUCCAGGCUGGGCCUUUGUUCCAGAAGCCUCCCUGCUCAGGGGCUCAGCUGCCAGCAGCUCACAUGCCUGUAGAAACUCUUCUCCCCAGGACUUGGCUCCCAGGGGUGGCCUGGCCGCUGGUUCCCUGCAGCCUCCACGGGCCUUCGGGACUAGUCUGGAGCCUCCUGGCCAACGUGUUCCCUGGGCCUUGGCUCUUGGCAGGCAGCUGGGUCUUUCAGUCAGGGACAGCCUUCAGUUCCAGGGUGGCCCCAGCAGGCACCCAACGUCUGCUUCCUGCUAGUCACUCAACCAGAGCCCGCUUAGAGCUGACGGGGGAGUGAAGGUGAGGAGUGGAGGCUUGAAGCUGGAUCCCUGCACAGCUGGAGGCAUCUUCCCGUCCGCUCACGGGGUGACAAUGCUUCACAAGCCCACCGGUGACCUUCACAGCAUCAGAGAAGACCAAGGGAAGAUCUUCAUGGUGGAUACUCCCCGAGCAGCCUGGCGUCUUCUUCCGGAGUUCGGACCCAUCUCAGAGGAGACGUAGCCUCCCAGAUAAGUGCCUCCUCCUGCCGCCCACCGCUGUGCCCAUGGCCCUCUCCCAGGCGGGGGUGGGGUGGGGGGCAGCUCCCAUCCCCCCCCUUUUUUUCCCUCCACUCCACAAAGACAGAUCUAGGCCUGUUUCUGGGUGCCACAGAGAGAGUGAUUUGCGCCCCGUUUUCUGCUGUCCAGAGUUUGGUCAGCUUCAGGAGGGAGGCCUGUCCAGUGAAGGGAGUGACUCCAUCUUGAGGGCCUGAUUGUAGGGUGCCGGGGGGUUGCUGGGAGUCCUGCUUCAAGCCCCCUCGUCUCUGUGCUAUGGGGUACUCUGCCAGGGACCUGAGGACGGCUUCACUGGGGACCCCCAGGCCAGCACCCAGUCCCUGAAGGAGGCUGAGAGGGUCCCCGCACCUCCAGUCUGCCCAGAGCCCACCACCAUCUGGUGCCCACCCCCCUAUUUCCCUGGUGUCCGGGGGGGUAUGAGAAAGGGCGUGGAGGCUUGUGGGGGGAAGCUAGGUGGGGGUCUCUCCCUCUUUCCCACUUUGAGCCAUGGGUCACUGCCCCCGCUAGCACCGUGGUGAGUGUGUAAGCUGGAAAGACACCCCCGCCAGCCCAGAGAGGGGAGGCAGGCCCUAGAGGGCCAUCCGGGGGUGGGGGACAGAGCCCACAUGCUCUCCCAGCUACUCAUGUGCUGUGCCUGCCCUCUCCUGGGUCAGUGCUGGGCAGGGAGGUGGGUGGCGCUGAGGGUGAGGCAGGCAGAGGACCCUCCCCAGACCCAGGCCUGGUGGGGCAGGGUGUUCAGGACUGGACGGCUGGGCUGGGGGUCUGUGUGGCUCUGGAGGUGGACGUUCAAGCGCCUUCCUUCUUCAGCUCCAGCCUGGACCUGGCCAGCUGCCGUCAAGCCGGAUGUGGACCCCGGUGAUGGCGACGUGUCCCCACACCUCGGUGACCCCGUCUUGGUGUUCCUGGACUCCGGCCGCAGGACACAGGGAGGCGGUCCUGGCUCUCCGACAGCCCCUAGGACGCCUCCUCCUGGUGGAUGUGAGCCCUGCCGGUAGGCGUUCGGCAAGGACCUGACUCCAGAGGCGCGGACCUGCCUGCUGCUUCCUGGACCGGAUACGCCCAGCCACACUGGGGCCUGUACCCCCCAGCCUGGUGUCCUGGGACCUUCAGGGCGGGCAGGGACAGGGGCCGAAGUGAGGGCUAUGGGUGUGGGGAGCCACCCUGUGCCGCUGGCUGUACUGUGUGCUGAUUUGGGUGGGCUCGUUUGUGACCCCUUCUGCGCCCCCAGGCAGGAGGGUUGGGAGGAUGAUGUCAAGCUGGGGAAUGGUGGGGGGGAGGCAAGAGGUACAUUGCGCGGGCUGGGGUGUGACUGAGAUGGCCGGAGAAGUUUGCAGGAGAACAGCAGCCCAGAGCACCAGGAACACAGCUCCUUCCCCCAUGGCAUCCGGGGCUGCAGAGUGGGCAGGCCCCAUAGUUCCAGAACCUUCUGGAGGGGCCAUGUGCCUGCUGGGGCCUUCCCAGGCUGCACCCUGGCUGAGCUCCUCAGUGGGUGUUGGCGCCGUGCCCCCUCACAGCACCUCAGGGAAGGGCUGCCUCUGCUCCCACCACAUCUGGGGGUGGCGGUGGAGAGAUUUCUCUCCAGGCCCCUCUCUUCUCUGAUCACUCUCCUGCUGUGUCCUCACUGGUCUUCCCUCUGGUCAGGCUUGGAGGGAAGGGGAGAGAGAGGGAGAGACAGACAGACAGACAGACAGAGCCCCCCUGUGUCUCUUCCUUGUCUCAUAAGGAUGCCAGUCCUGUGUGAUCAGGCAUCUCCCCCAGACCCCGUUUCAUCUCCCUUACCCGUUCUGUCCCUGGACCCCCGUUCACCUGCCUUGCCCGCUCUGUCUCUGAGUUUAACGCCCACUUUGAAUUUCUUUUCUUUUUGGGGGUGGUGCUGGUGGGAUUCAGUCCACAGCAGGGUGACCACCUGCCACAUGGUGCUGACUCCCCUUCAGGACCCCUCCUGCAGUGUAGACCCAGGGGCCUUGCCGAUUUGCUUCCCUGAGUCUGAACCGCCCUCUAGCCAGCUGUGGGGGUGGAGGUGGGGUGCACCGCCUGGUCUCAGAGAGCCCAGGGUGCCCCUGGAGCCUUGGGGGCAGGGGAGGGCCUGCUUCCCAGCGUCUGUGCCCAGGGCCGGGCACCCAGGGAGCCGUGCAGAACGGGCUUCCUAGCAUCUUCUCAGGCCCUGCCUGUCCCCGGUAUUGGGGUGAGUGGUGGUGGAGGGGUGACCCUGAGCUAGCUGCAGGCCUUCCAACCAAGGGUGAACCUGCCAGGACCUUCAGGGACCAGAAGGAGCUUCCCCAGCUGAAGGCUCCCAGGAAGAGGUCAGUGCAGACAGCCAGAGUGGUUCUGGGGGGGCCAUUCCCCCAUUCUGUCUCCCCUCCACUUUCCAUCUCUGUCUCUCCCUCUCUUUUUAAACUUCUGUUUAUUUAGAGACAGAAAUUGAGAGGAGAGGGGGGGAGGUAGAGAGGGAGAGACAGAGAGACACCUGCAGCCCUGUUUCACCACUUAUGAAGCUUUCCCUCUGCAGGUGGGGACCGGGGGCUCGAACCUGGGUCCUUGCACACUGAAAUGUGUGCUCUUAACCAGGUGUGCCACUGCCUGGCUUCCUCUGUCCCACUGUCCUAGGUGGUGCUUCACUGAAAAGGGGGCAUCCCUGACCCGGAAAGUUGGGUUCACACUCCCUCCUCAGUCCUCAAACAGCCAUAACCUUCACCAGUGCUUUAAAGGUUUGGCUAAGUCCUGCUUUUUAAAUGUCCACUGAGUUGCAACUCACUUUAGAGAGGGACAGGCUGCAAGCUAUGGUUUCCACAGGAGGGGUCUGAAUAGGACAUGGUCCUGGGCCUGAGGACAGGCAAGGGACAAAGGGCCUGGAGCUGGGUUCUGGGAAGCAGGUCCUGGGGAGGAGGCUGGGGAGGGGGCACCGGAGCCCUGGCAGUAGGGGGAGGAGUCUGACGGACAUGGUAGCUCAUGGGGGCAUUGUGGGCGGACCUGAGUGUGAUGGCCCCUAGCUCUCCGGGGAGGGCCUGACAGGAGCCAGGCUGAGGGUGCCAGCCGCUCUGCAGGGACCCAGUGUUUUUCAGGGUCGGGGCUCUGAGACCCCAGGCUGAGGACUCGGGGAGCAGAAGUGUGUCCAGGGGAGCACAAACGCGGGUGGGCAGGUGGACAGGGUGGAUGGGGUCUUCUAGGUGGACCCCUGCCCUGGAUGGCCUCUGGCGGCCGGGGUGAGCCAGGCGCGGUGCAUGGUGGCGUGUGACCUAUUAACCCAGGGCUCGGCGGGGGUGCCUGGCCCUGCCCUCACUAACCCACUAACCAGGCCCAGCAUGCCCUACUAACCACGCAGACCUACUAACCGUGCCUCGCUGGCCUCAGGCUGGGCGUGGGGCUGGGCCGGGCUCUGUGCAGACCCCCAGGGCGGGACGGGCCAAGCCGGGGCUCCCAGCCUGCCACUCCUGCCGGGCAGCUGGGAGCGCGUCCACCCCUCUUUGAACCCCAUUUCCCUGGGGUUCACAGCCGAGUGAGGAGUCUGGGGAAAGGAAAGGUCUGGACACACGCUUAACAAAAGAGGGAAGGCGGGCCAGUGGGCAUCAGAGCCUCCCCCCACCAAAAAAAAUACCCAGAGGGUGUCACCCUCCCAGGCCCCGGUCCUUCUGGGGGUCCUACACACAGAGCUUUCUGCCAGGGGCCGGACACCUGCUUUGAACCCUGACUCUCCCUUGUUCUGCCUCCGCCCCACUUUCUCUCCUGCAGGCAGCUCUCUCGUUCCGUUACUAACCUGUGUCUAACUCGGGUGCCUCACCUGUGUCCCCACCCUAACACACUAACAGGCCCGCGUGCGUUCUUCCUCUCCUAGCAACUCCCAUGUGUGUGCUGGGUGCCCGGGCGCUGGCGCUGUGCUCUGAACCUACUAACCCGGCCCUACUAACCCGGUCUUCUUACUAACCCAGCCCUGCCGAGCUCUGGGUCCCUCGCCUGCCCUGGGUGCUGGUCCCCUCCCUCACAGGUGUCCCGGGGCUGCCCCUGCAGACAGGACUGCACCCUAACUGGGACGGGGGACAGCUCUGGGAGUGGCCCCGGUGACAGCUCUGAGAGUGGCCUCGGUGACCCAGAGGAGGAGGAGGCGGCCAUGCUGACAUGCGAGGCUGGUCUCUGGGGAGAAGGGAUGCCGCUCUCCUUUGUGGGGGAUUCUGAGUGCCACUGGGGGUGGCUGGGCCCAGGGACACCUCUGGGGCUUGGAGGCAGGUGGGCCGCCCACCCUAGUUGAGGGGGCAGGGAGCUGGCCUUCUUGGGGUGGAAGUGAGGGUAGAACUCGCUCCACUGGGAAUUGGUCAGUCAGGGAGCAACCCUGUACAGGAAGUCAGUGAGAGAGUAGGUGUCCAUGCGGGAGGUAACAUGUCUCUCACAGGAAGUCUUUGGAGGAGGACUUGUUCCUCACAGGAAGUCAGUGGGAAGGGAGCUGUCCCUUACAGGAAGUCAGUAGGAGGAGACCUGUCCCUCACAGGAAGUCUUUGCAGGAAGACUUGCUCCUCACAGGAAGUUAAUGAGAAGGGAGCUGAUCCUCACAGGAAGUCAAAUGGAUGGGACCUGCCCCUCACAGGAAGUUAAUUGGAAGGGACCUUUCACAGGAAGUUAGUGGGAGGGGACCUGUUCCUCACUGGAAGUCAGUUGGAGGGGACCUGUCCCUCACAGGAAAUCAAUUGGAAGGGACCUCUCACAGGAAGCCAAUGGGAGGAGACACGUCCCUCACAGGAAGUCAGUGGAACAAGAUCUAUCUCUCACAGGAAGUUAGUGGGAGGGGACCUGUUCCUCACAGGAAGUCAGUGGGAGGGGACCUGUCCCUCACAGGAAGUCAGUAUGAGGAAACCUGUUCUUCACAGGAAGUCAGUUGGAGGGGACCUGUCCCUCACAGGAAGUCAGUGGAAGGGGAGUUGUCCCUCAUAGGAAGUCAGUUGGAAGAACUCUGUCCUACAUUGGAAGCCAAUGGGAGGGGGUUGCAUCCCACACAGGAAGUCAACCAAAGGCUAGGUCCCAUACAGGAAGUUGGUUAAUGUCCCCCACCAGGGUGGGACAUUUCAUACAGGAAGGCACCAGGGGGAAUGCGCCCUGGCUCCCUGCCCAGCUCCCACUGGCACCCCAGGUCCCGGCCCACCUCCCCCCAGAGCCCGCCAGCCGCUAAGCCAGGGCCACACCUGGGGGUGAUGUCCGCCUCACCUCCAGUAGGCACCUCGGCCUCUCCGGGCUAAUCAUCUCUGGCUCCCUCGCACUAACUCGCUCUCCCCUUUGGCUAACCUCCGCCUAGGCCUGGCUGCCCCCGGGGGGCUGAUACUCCAGGCCAGCCCUGCCCGUCGGGGGUCUCCAGGCGUCUAGUCUGGCUCUGAAUGAACCUCCCUCACCGUGACUAACUCUCGCCCUUGCGGUCUGUUCCUCCAGCAGAAACUAACGGCUUGCGGACUUCUCUCUGACUAACAGCCGGUCUAACACCCCCAGCUCCCCCCCCCCCCACACCAUGAGUGAUGGCUUGGGUGUCCGCAUGGCUGGGUGGGCUCCCCUGGGGCAGAACUGGACUGGGGAGGGGUGUGGACCUCGGGAGUGUGUGUGUGCGGGGUAGACAGCGGCCUGGGCGUGGGAGAUUCGGAGACCCCACAGCUGGAAGCUUUUGAUUAGCAUCUUGUAGGAGCCCUGAGGUCACCACCCACCACCCACCACCAAUAGUGUGUCAGCUAAACUUCUGGUUUUGACUUCUGUGCAGUUGCAGGAGCCCUGGGCUGUGGGCAUGGAGGAGGAGGGCACAGGACUUGCAGGGAGCCUGUUAGCUGCCCUAUGGCAGCUGCACUGGCCCAGCCCCUUCCCCCCUGUCUCAUCCCCCCCCCUGCCCCAAGAAGCUUGGUGCUGCCCUGGGUGUGUGCCCUGAGCACUGCUCUGGGAGCCGGGGCUGGGCUCUGGGCUGGGUGCUGGGCUGAGCUUGUGGGCGCGUAGUGAGUGCACCCUCUGGCCUCCGGGCGCUUUCCCGCUGGGUGGUGGCUGGGUGCAGGCCCAGUGGCAGCUUUGUGAAGGGGGGCCCUGAGCUGAGCCUUGGCUGGGUGGAUGCAGAAGGCGGGUUUCUGGCAGCAGGCUGCGGGGGCCAUAGAAAGUGCUGGAGGGGUCAGUUGGGGUUGGAGGGGUUCUGGAAGAUUCUUGGGGAGUAUAGGAAGGGGCAGAGAGGACAUGGGCAUGUAGGUGAUGGUCCUGCUAUGGGGCUCUGGGGGCGGUGGGUGUGAGUGUGUGUGAGUGUGUGGGUGUAUGUGUGUGAGUGUGAGUGUGUGUGUGUGGGUGUAUGUGUGUGAGUGUGUGGGUACGUGAGUGUGUGUGGGUACGUGAGUGAGUGUGCUCUUGAUGCUGGGGGUGCCAGCUGGGGCUGGUCCUCUCCUCACUGUCCCCAGCCCACCCUGGUCCUGAGUCACCCACUGGGAUGGGAGGGACCUGGGGGGUGGUCAAGCCAGUCACUGGGCCCCACCUUUUCCCCCUGAGAGACCAGAGAAGUGUCCUCCUGGUCGCCACCCAGGACCCAGCACGUGGGCAUGGGGAUUCUGCUGUCCAUUAAAGACCCAGCUGUCUGUGGAACCC
Long non-coding RNA from Erinaceus europaeus (western European hedgehog), 7217 nucleotides. RefSeq lists it as uncharacterized. The transcript is spliced from 6 exons. The record is from RefSeq and is a predicted model, not a curated record. NCBI's taxonomy places the organism in Eukaryota, Metazoa, Chordata, Mammalia, Eulipotyphla, Erinaceidae.